AAAAGUACUUUGAAAAGAGAGUGCAAGAGAACGUGAAACCGUUGUAAUGGAAGCGAAUGGAGCCGACGUAUCUAGUGCGUAUUCAACUUUCGGGCUGUUCAAUUGAGCGUUUAGCAUUUCAGCAAUGUGUGCUUUGUUUAUUGUUGGGCGGUUCGUUGGUGCAUUUGCGUACGGAGUGCGCCGAGUUGUGUGGUGUUGCUAAACAAACCUUGUUUAGAGGACCGGGCCUUCGGGCUCCGGAACCCUGGGCUUGUCGAGUUUGGUUGACGCUGCGCAGCUUCGUAGAGACAUGGGUUUUUCGCAUAUCGUUGCGUCGAUGUGUUCGGUUCGUGUUGUACACAUGUGUGCGGCGCUUCUCGGGCCUAUCGGCGUGGUGGUUUGCUCUAUGUUCUUCUCGGUGUAUAGUCGGUGACCCAUUCGACCCGUCUUGAAACACGGACCAAGGAGUUUAUGGUAUGCGCGAGUCAUUGGAUUCGAAAAUCUAAAGGCGAAAUGAAAGUGAGACUUUACUAGUUUUAACGUGAAUGGGUGCGGCAUUCGUGCGGCCCAAGCAACGUUGCCCCGUUUCGAAGACUUGUCUUGUUGCGGAGGUUGAGCGUAUGCUAUGAGACCCGAAAGAUGGUGAACUAUGCCUGAACAGGACGAAGCCAGAGGAAACUCUGGUGGAAGUCCGAAGCGGUUCUGACGUGCAAAUCGAUCGUCUGAUUUUGGUAUAGGGGCGCAAGACUAAUCGAACCAUC
RNAcentral lists this ribosomal RNA (740 nucleotides) under Bursaphelenchus okinawaensis. Its description in RNAcentral is "eukaryotic LSU rRNA". It matches the Rfam family "Eukaryotic large subunit ribosomal RNA", at positions 367 to 944 of the family's 3401-position model. The record is from RNAcentral. Lineage: Eukaryota; Metazoa; Nematoda; Chromadorea; Rhabditida; Aphelenchoididae.